Oceanobacillus oncorhynchi is the source of this 364-nucleotide non-coding RNA. The record is from Rfam. NCBI's taxonomy places the organism in Bacteria, Bacillati, Bacillota, Bacilli, Caryophanales, Bacillaceae.
CGUUGAUUAUGACUUAGCUGCUUAAGCAGUCUCAGUCACAGUCGUCCUAACUGGUAACGGUUAGUGAUUAUUAUCGGGUGAAUUGCUGGAAACCCCUUAGAGCUUGUCUUACUACAACGCAGCUGGAAACGGCAAACGUGAAGGUUUGAAAAAAGACGAGAUUGGGCAAUCAGCAGCCGAGCUCCUGGGAGGAAACUCUGGAGAAGGUUCAACGACUAGAAUAAACCACCUAAUGUAUAAGCGAUGGUGAUGAAAUUCGUAGGUGAAUGAUAGAGCCGCUAAUUCUAUCAGAAUCCGAAGUUCCCGACCCUUCCUAGGUAACUGGAAGGUGAAGAUAUAGUCUAGUCAUUUAUGAAAGUAAAUG